Cyprinodon tularosa is the source of this 282-nucleotide long non-coding RNA. RefSeq lists it as uncharacterized. The transcript is spliced from 3 exons. The record is from RefSeq and is a predicted model, not a curated record. NCBI's taxonomy places the organism in Eukaryota, Metazoa, Chordata, Actinopteri, Cyprinodontiformes, Cyprinodontidae.
CGCCGUCUUCACAACUCGGAGACAAAUUGCAGGCGCUAUGAACCGGAGCAAGGACUAAUCUCGCCUCAUAAUGAGGCGAUGACCUCCUAUUUGCUUGGAGCCAUAUCAGCAAGUCCAGAUUUGCACGAUGUUGAUAAAGACGACAUUGUGUCUGCCUGUAAGACGUAUUAUGAGACGGUACGCAGGAGCUUCAGAUAUACGCAGCCAGCCAACACGUUGCGUGCGGAAGCUGCCAGGCAAUCUGCUCAGAGUCGGGCCAGAAGAAAGAGGGUAAGACUUUAU